Molecule: ribosomal RNA, 320 nt
Filed under: uncultured eukaryote
Lineage: Eukaryota
Description: partial 18S ribosomal RNA
Rfam family: Eukaryotic small subunit ribosomal RNA
Source: RNAcentral
CCCCUAGAUGUUCUGGGCCGCACGCGCGCUACACUGAACAGUUCAACAAGUCUUAACCUUGGCCGAUAGGUCUGGGUAAUCUUUGAACGCUGUUCGUGAUUGGGAUAGACCUUUGCAAUUAUGGGUCUUCAACGAGGAAUUCAUAGUAAACGCAAGUCAUCAGCUUGCAUUGAUUACGUCCCUGCCCUUUGUACACACCGCCCGUCGCACCUACCGAUUGAAUGGUCCGGUGAAAUCUCGGGACGGCGGCUUGGUCGCUUGCGUCCGACUGCUGAAACUUGAUUAAACCAUAUCAUUUAGAGGAAGGUGAANUCGUAACA